Long non-coding RNA from Drosophila grimshawi, 988 nucleotides. RefSeq lists it as uncharacterized. The record is from RefSeq and is a predicted model, not a curated record. The transcript has 3 exons. NCBI's taxonomy places the organism in Eukaryota, Metazoa, Arthropoda, Insecta, Diptera, Drosophilidae.
CACGUUUGGACGCGUGCUCUACUUGCGACUGCCAGCGCACCAUUCGUACGUGUGUGUGUGUGUGCGUGUGCGUUGCGUUACUGUUGCGUGUAUUUGCCGCCGAUGUCGCAACAAGCUUCAAGUUGAGCAUUAUCCAAAGAUCAAAUGCCACAACUGCCGCAGUCAAAUCAAACAUCAACAUCGUCAACAAAUUGUAAUUUUAGCCGCUCUGAAAAACUAAAAAAAAUCACUUUGAAUUAUUUGAUUAAAUUAGUGUUUGAACUGUGCACUCCAAAAAUAACUGCAAACUGCAAGCGAUAGUUUCCAUAAAAAAUAUAUUUAUAAAUUAUCAAAAAAUAUUCAAAAAGCAACAGCAAAUAUUUAAUAAAUAUUAUCAUAAUGCUUGUGCAAAAUUCAAAUUCAACACAAAUUACCAAUUAUUGCCGUUAAAUUUGGAAAUCAGCCCAGGUGGUGAACGCCUUUCCGGGUCGGACUUCAAAUUAAUUGUAUGCUUGCUUCUCAUUGUGGCUGCCGCAUAGUGCGGCACACAUAAGAAAUGUUGCCCCAUCAAUCGCCGCUCGGCUUUGUGGUUGCUGUUGCUGUCGGCAGCUGCUGUUGCAGUUUGGUAUAUAAAAUAUGACCAUAGCGUCGCAGGACAGUCAAAGGCAACUCAUCAGCAUCUGCCAUGAGAUGGCUUUCACACACAAACGAAUUUAUGGAAUACAAUUUGCAUAUUUUACUUUGGAAGAGGCGAACUUUCAAAAUCAACAUGUGCACUUUUUAAUACACUGAAUCCACUUAAAAUUACAUAAAAGGGUAUAAUUAUGAUGUGGAAAUGUAGAUAGCAUCCAGAACGAAACAUCCAGACACCAUAAGCUAUUCAAAUGUUUUUUUUUAUCAGCAUUAAAUAUAUCAGAGAAUAAAAAAGCUAAAGACUUCCGAUUUAUUUAGAAAAUAUAAGCUCUUAUAUACCACGCGACCAUUGAUUCUCUUUCAUUAGAUCGAUAAC